GCCUCAGUUUACAUUUAAAAGGAUUGAGGCAGUGUGGUGACACACACCUGUGACCCCAGCUCUCAGGAGGCUGAGGCAGGAGGAUCCCCAUGGGGUCGAGGCCAGCCUGGGCUUCAUAGUGAGACCCUGAUAUGAGACACAGAGGAGACAAAGCAAGGAAGGGAAGGGCACGGAACCCAGCACAACUCCCAGUUCCCCGCCCGACCCACGAGACAGCCUGAUGCUCCUCAUGAAGAUGCAGGCAGAGUAUGGGUGGAAGGUUUUGAGGACAUCCAACACCAGAAUCAAAGCCAUCUGAAGAGUUAUGUCAUCGACGAUUCACAUCAUGUCGACUUUCUGUCCAUGAAAAAUCUUCAAAAUGUUUUUCAAAAUUCAGUGAUGACUUUGUUGAUGAUGAUGAAGUAGGAAAAUUAAGGCAGCUGGAGCAAAGCCACGCUGUGCAAUUUAGGUCCACUGUCUCCAACACAGCAAAACAAGGCUUCAACAUCUCAUAGCAAGUCCAAAUUCCAACAGGACUGCACAAGAAGGUGUUGAUCUUUUCUCUGUAAUCUUUAUGUUUUCCAGUUUGUUUUUUAAAUUUUGUAUCCUCUGAAAUAUCCAAGUUCUUUGAAGAUACUUAACCUAUGACUAUUUGACAUAGAGGUAUUUCAAGUCAACUACCGAUACUUCUGUUUUAAAGUUUUCACAAGGCGAUUUCCAAAAUUAGCCAAGUUCCUUGGAUUUAAGAUCAAAGUCUUCCUUAUUAUUCUAUUUACUUGUCACUGUUUUGCUUAUCCCACUCCAGAAGAAACAUCCAAGUUAUGAGCCAAAAAGUAGAAACAAAGAAAAUUACACAUUGGAAGAGUAUUCCUAAACUUCGGCACACAGAUACAAAUAGCUAUGUCAGUACUACCACACCAGCAGGAACCUGCAACAUCUCAAAUUUCCACAUAAGUAAAAGAUGAAAAGAAAAAGCCUCUGUAUUCUUUCAGUGUCUUCAUCUAGCAAAGCUGCUCCAUUGAGACAUGAAAAGGAUCAAGGUCAGAAAAUUCCUAAAACUUUUAAUAAAGCCUGGGUGGCUUUUCUUCCUUUCUUGUCUGAGUGGACUGCGGGGACUUCUGGACUGUGACACACAAAAAGACAGGAGUGGCAUUGAGCCCAUGCUCAGCCUGAACCAGGAGGGUGGUGCUGGCUGAGACAUCCUGUCUGUGCCAUCCCCAGGUCCAAGAAGGUCCUGGCAAUCCUGGUCUGUUUGGAACAUCUACU
Molecule: long non-coding RNA, 1245 nt
Organism: Heterocephalus glaber (naked mole-rat)
Lineage: Eukaryota; Metazoa; Chordata; Mammalia; Rodentia; Bathyergidae
Source: Ensembl